Magnolia sinica is the source of this 870-nucleotide long non-coding RNA. RefSeq lists it as uncharacterized. NCBI's taxonomy places the organism in Eukaryota, Viridiplantae, Streptophyta, Magnoliopsida, Magnoliales, Magnoliaceae. The record is from RefSeq and is a predicted model, not a curated record. The transcript is spliced from 4 exons.
UUUCUCCAAGAAGAUAGUCAUGCAUGUGAUUUAGCAGUGGUAAGAACUUUUCUUUGGCUUACUUCACCAAUUUGCUACUGAGCCAUUGACUUGCCUAUGGAUGUGUUGGUAACUUUGAAAUCUUUUGCCAAAGAAGAAGAAAAAGAAGGAGACAAGUUUUAUUCUUUUGCCAGAGAAGAAGAAGGUGACAAGUUUUAUUCUUUUGCCAGAGAAGAAGGUGACAAGUUUUAUUAUUUAUAGGUUUUGACCCUUCCACUUUCAUGCCUGAUUAAAGUUUUCCUCUGCCCUUUGAUUUUACAGAUGCGGAUUGGCUUGUUACCCGAGGUUGUAUCGUGGUGAUCCAGUGCUAAAUCCUCUUACACCUUGGGAUAGACCUCCAUUGAAAAACAUUUUCUGUAUAUAUGGGAUAGAUAUGAAGACUGAGUUUGUGAGUGUUUAACUCCUGAUACUGUAAAUAAUAAGUAUCAUGGAUGUGAAGACUGGUGGAGGCAAGUUUUUUCAGCACAAGGCUUAUUGUGAAAAACAUAACUUGGAUCAGAAAAAGAAGGUCAUAUCAAUUGCUUUUGAAAAAUGAAUAUCUUAUGAUGCAUUGUCUUUCAUAGGAUAAAAGUCUUAUGUUACAAUGCAUAAGUUUAUUUACCCUGCCUCAUCUUGGUUUUUAUCAAUUUCUACAGGCUGAGAAUCUGCAACAUGGACCUGAUUAGGUCCGCCGCAUUAAGAAAAUCCGGGUCAGUGAGAAUGUACUAUAAUCCACAUCUUGUCUAUUUUCUCAUUCAUUAUUGGAUCCUCCUUUUGGGUUUCCUUUCCAGCACUUCCAACUCUCAAUUCUACUCUCUUUCCUUUCCCUACACAUCCAUCUGCAUUUCAUUU